CAACAUCGACGACAACAGCAGCACCACCAGAUAUGUAACUUCCUCUCUUUGCAUUCUACACUUGCACCUGCAUCUCCUAUGAUUAGCUCAGAUAUUCUCAUCUAUUUGUCUCUAAAUCUCUGUUUUCCCCAAAUCGGCAAAUCCGAUCCAUAGCGAUGGGCGCCCAGCCGGCUGCUGGGCUACGGACUCCGGCGAAGCCAUGAUGGCGCGUCAGCGUGUUAGCACGAGGCUGCGGCUGGUGAUGGACCAACAGCCGCAUGGGGAGAAGCGCGGCGAACACGGUUCCAGUGUCGGCCUUCUGGAGGCCAUGCUUGGCAUGGCCAGCGGCAACAAGAGGCGGGGACACGAGGACCGAUUGGAACAACAUAUGGAGUGUGAAUUCAAAUGUUUAUUUACUGUAUUAUGAAUGUGUUUAACUUAGAGUUUAGAAAAUUCUGACAUUCUAGAGACAAACGAUUUUCCAUGCCAGCAAGCGACAGAUAUAUUGUUAGUAGGUUGGAGGAUGGAACGAUUUUCCUUGCUGCUAUGUGAAGCUGCUGAAGUCCUGGUGUUGUAUAUCUCAUGGAUCACUAUGGUCAGCAAGGCAAACAAGUGAAAUAGCAAAAGAUAAGUUGGGGGGAAGAAAAUAGAAAGGAAGGGGGAAAAGGUUAUAGGUUGAUGGGAGCCGUUAAUUAUUUGCACAUCUAUUUCUAUUGUGAGAAAAGAUUCUAAGAAUCAACUAGAUGAAAUGUUUAUGUGUACAGACCAUGCCAUCACCGUGACAAUCAAAAAGACACCCUUGGUGUUUCCUCUUGGCUCCUAUUAUUGGAUCUGAUUAAUUAACAAGGGCAUUAACCUGAUUUUUUUUCUGCAGAUCCUUACCCUGUAGUACAAGGCCCUCGCGAUUCUCCUUGGUGCCAUACACUACUCCACGCUGGUUGGUUGACAUAUGGUCUAUUGGUUUAAUUUGGGUAAGAUUUCAAUGAACUUAGACAUCAGUUUUCAAGUGAACUGCUUCAUAACUCAUGCCGACACAUAUAAAUAUUCUAACCUGGUGUAAAUUGCAGAUGAGUUGGUUACUAACCAGCCACUUUUCCCUGGUGACUCUGAGUUGCACCAGUUGCUUCUUGAAUUUUGUGUUUUUUAGCCAAUCUUGAUCAUUCAAUAUUUUUUGUUCUUAUAAAAAUAUAUAUCUGCUAUUGUUGUGUAUGAUUAGUUUAGAUAAGAUGAUCUUGCUUUCCUCCAACUACACGCUAACAGAUUACUGUUUAGCUUCGUCUUUAUAGUUCUCAAAUCAAAAGAGCAUCGUGGUUGAGGCUCACCUGCAAUCUUGAGCUAUCCAUGUCAAAAUUAGUUUCAAGCAACAAGAUGCACGUCUAUUCUCCAUAUAUCAAAUUAGCCAUCACAGUUUACUUCUCAUCUUUGGUGAAGGCAUAUGUGCAGCAGCCGGAGAGCGGUAAUCUAAAACUUGCACAACUGGAGCAGGAACUCCAGAAACUUGCUAUUUCACUUGCACACUCUUUGAUAUUACUUUGAGGAAAUUUGUUUGUUUUAUUGGUUAGUUUAAAAGCUGAUGUUCUGUGCCAGAAGUUGGAUCCUCUUCAGAAAAAUUUGAUGCCACAAUGCAUGAUCCGAGCAUGUCCAAGCCACGGGACACUUAGGAGCUGCAUAUAAUGUGGGCUCUGUAUAUAAGUUAUUGAUUUUAUUAAUUUAUCCUUCAGUGAGGUGUACAUUUCGGUCGUGAUCCUUGCAUGUAAAGUUUGCUUCAUAUGGCAUUUUGAUGCAGAUUUAGAGACAUUUUUUAUAGUUUGCCUACUUAAAUGAUAGUUUAAUAUUUGUUGGUUAUUUCUCAUUUGUUACAAUGAUAAAGUAUUUUAUCUCUUGCCUACUUAGUUUCUAUCGGUUCUCUCUUUUAGGUAACCUAAAUUUGGACAAAGGACGCUAGGAUUGGAAGUUCUAUGUAAUUCAAGCUGGGAUUCAAAGUUCUAUAUAAGUGGGA
RNAcentral lists this long non-coding RNA (1978 nucleotides) under Sorghum bicolor (sorghum). RNAcentral's name for it is "long non-coding RNA (SBIC_LNC007192)". The record is from RNAcentral. Lineage: Eukaryota; Viridiplantae; Streptophyta; Magnoliopsida; Poales; Poaceae.